ACUCCUGAUCCUCAACACAUUGCUCGGGCUCCUAGUCCUUGUCUUACACCCAUUGGAGGAGGCAGGAUAGGAAAUUCUGAAAAAAGAAGCAUUAAUGGCCCUAAUGCCUUAAAUGACACUUCUACUCACAUAAAUGAGUCUACUGACCUGGUAACUGCUUUGUCAGGCAUGGGUCUUUCAGCUAGUUCUAUGGAUGAGGAGAAUAAUUUACCGUCUCGAAUUAAACAAGAAGUUGAUGACCAUGAGAAUUUCUUCAAUCUUCCAGGUGGUCAGAAUAACCUGAAGCAGCAUGCAUACCUGAAGAAAUCUGAAUCUGGGCAAUUCAAUAUGUCUUCUGUUCUUCAGCAUGCAAAAAUGAUGCCUUCUGACGCUGGUGUAAGCAAUGGCGAUGGUUUGGAUGUCAGCAACUCUUCUUUUCAAACUGAGCUGCACAAAACCAGUGCUUCUUCUAAUAAAACAUGGUGGUGUUGUUGGUGGCAGUAGUGGCAAUAGCUCUGCCUUUGCUGAGUAUGCAAGAAAUAAGAGUGGUAAUGGUUUCAUGUCAGAGGAGGAGCUUAGGUCCGAUCCUGCAUAUCUUAGAUAACAUUGGUUCAGCAGAGGCUGAGCUGGUUCAUAUGCGUCAUAAAUUGACAUCUGCAGACCCUGUACGCUCUGCUUCAAAUGUUCAGACCUCAUCUGCUUCUCAACAUGUUGGACCGCCCACAUCAUAUUCUUAUGCUGCUGCUUUGGGAGCUUCCUUGUCAAGAAGCUCCACUCCUGAUCCUCAACACAUUGCUCGGGCUCCUAGUCCUUGUCUUACACCCAUUGGAGGAGGCAGGAUAGGAAAUUCUGAAAAAAGAAGCAUUAAUGGCCCUAAUGCCUUAAAUGACACUUCUACUCACAUAAAUGAGUCUACUGACCUGGUAACUGCUUUGUCAGGCAUGGGUCUUUCAGCUGGUUCUAUGGAUGAGGAGAAUAAUUUACCGUCUCGAAUUAAACAAGAAGUUGAUGACCAUGAGAAUUUCUUCAAUCUUCCAGGUGGUCAGAAUAACCUGAAGCAGCAUG
This 1044-nucleotide long non-coding RNA is filed under the name Olea europaea (common olive). RNAcentral's name for it is "long non-coding RNA (OEUR_LNC001515)". The record is from RNAcentral. Lineage: Eukaryota; Viridiplantae; Streptophyta; Magnoliopsida; Lamiales; Oleaceae.